AGUGAACGCUGGCGGUAGGCCUAACACAUGCAAGUCGAACGGCAGCACAGUAAGAGCUUGCUCUUACGGGUGGCGAGUGGCGGACGGGUGAGGAAUACAUCGGAAUCUACUUUUUCGUGGGGGAUAACGUAGGGAAACUUACGCUAAUACCGCAUACGACCUACGGGUGAAAGCAGGGGAUCUUCGGACCUUGCGCGAUUGAAUGAGCCGAUGUCGGAUUAGCUAGUUGGCGGGGUAAAGGCCCACCAAGGCGACAAUCCGUAGCGGGUCUGAGAGGAUGAUCAGCCACACUGGAACUGAGACACGGUCCAGACUCCUACGGGAGGCAGCAGUGGGGAAUAUUGGACAAUGGGCGCAAGCCUGAUCCAGCCAUACCGCGUGGGUGAAGAAGGCCUUCGGGUUGUAAAGCCCUUUUGUUGGGAAAGAAAAGCAGCAGGUUAAUACCUCGCUGUUCUGACGGUACCCAAAGAAUAAGCACCGGCUAACUUCGUG
This 492-nucleotide ribosomal RNA is filed under the name uncultured bacterium. RNAcentral's name for it is "partial 16S ribosomal RNA". It matches the Rfam family "Bacterial small subunit ribosomal RNA", at positions 29 to 507 of the family's 1533-position model. The record is from RNAcentral.